AUACGGAGGGUGCGAGCGUUAAUCGGAAUUACUGGGCGUAAAGCGCGCGUAGGCGGUUUGGUCAGUCGGAUGUGAAAGCCCCAGGCUCAACCUGGGAAUGGCAUUCGAUACUGCCUGACUAGAGUAUGGUAGAGGGAAGUGGAAUUUCCGGUGUAGCGGUGAAAUGCGUAGAUAUCAGAAGGAACACCAGUGGCGAAGGCGACUUCCUGGGCCAAUACUGACGCUAAGGUGCGAAAGCGUGGGGAGCAAACAGGAUUAGAAACCCCGGUAGUCC
This 274-nucleotide ribosomal RNA is filed under the name uncultured bacterium. RNAcentral describes it as "partial 16S ribosomal RNA". It matches the Rfam family "Bacterial small subunit ribosomal RNA", at positions 523 to 796 of the family's 1533-position model. The record is from RNAcentral.